Long non-coding RNA from Sinocyclocheilus anshuiensis, 301 nucleotides. RefSeq lists it as uncharacterized. NCBI's taxonomy places the organism in Eukaryota, Metazoa, Chordata, Actinopteri, Cypriniformes, Cyprinidae. The transcript has 3 exons. The record is from RefSeq and is a predicted model, not a curated record.
UCAUUUCGUAGACCGAACAGAGUGGAGCUCAUUUGCAAAGCAGCAGUUUAGAUUGAAUUAUUAUUACUUUUUGUCUCACUUCUCCUACCGCAGGGUUAUUUACAGUUACAGUGGACUUUGUGGCCAGGGAUUCUAGGGAGAGAAGGUGAAUUGGAAGAGGCAGAGGUUUGAAUGUUCCUCACUAUGUUCAUUGUAAUGGCUGUGGUUUUUGCAAAUGUAUAACUUAUUCUGUAUUGUAAUAUUUUAUGUGGAUGUAACAAAAUUGCACAAUCCUGUUUGUUUCUGUACAUAAUAAACAAAA